RNAcentral lists this ribosomal RNA (406 nucleotides) under uncultured bacterium. Its description in RNAcentral is "partial 16S ribosomal RNA". It matches the Rfam family "Bacterial small subunit ribosomal RNA", at positions 29 to 526 of the family's 1533-position model. The record is from RNAcentral.
AUUGAACGCUGGCGGCAGGCCUAACACAUGCAAGUCGAACGAGUGGCGGACGGGUGAGUAAUGUCUGGGAAACUGCCUGAUGGAGGGGGAUAACUACUGGAAACGGUAGCUAAUACCGCAUACCAUCGGAUGUGCCCAGAUGGGAUUAGCUAGUAGGUGGGGUAAAGGCUAACCUAGGCGACGAUCCCUAGCUGGUCUGAGAGGAUGACCAGCAACAUGGGACCGGAGACACGGUCAAGACCCUACCGGGAGGCAGCAGUGGGGAAUAUUGCACAAUGGGGGCAAGCCUGAUGCAGCCAUGCCGGGGGGAGGAAGAAGGCCUUCGGGUUGUAAAGUACGUUCAGCGGGGAGGCGUUACCCGAAGAAGAAGCACCGGCUAACUCCGUGCCAGCAGCCGCGGUAAUAC